Felis catus (domestic cat) is the source of this 137-nucleotide small nucleolar RNA. RefSeq annotates it as small nucleolar RNA SNORA14. The transcript has a single exon. Lineage: Eukaryota; Metazoa; Chordata; Mammalia; Carnivora; Felidae. The record is from RefSeq and is a predicted model, not a curated record.
CUGCAUUCUUAAACCCUCUUGGUAGCUUUCCUGAAAAUGCUUCCAAGAUAUGAGUGAAUGCUAUAGAGAAAUUGCAGGGGAGUCCAAAGGGCUGCGCUUCACCUGUGGCUCAGUCUUAUUUCAUACCUGCGACAUCU